CCUACGGGAGGCAGCAGUGAGGAAUAUUGGUCAAUGGGCGCGAGCCUGAACCAGCAACGUCGCGUGAGGGAUGACGGUCCUAUGGAUUGUAAACCUCUUUUGUCGGGGGGAAAAAGACGCCACGCGUGGCGUUCCGAGAGUACACGAAGAAAAAGGAUCGGCUAACUCCGUGCCAGCAGCCGCGGUAAUACGGAGGAUGCGAGCGUUAUCCGGAUUUAUUGGGUUUAAGGGGUGCGCAGACGGAAGAUCAAGUCAGAGGUAAAAUUGGGGGGAACAACCUCAUAGAGCCGUUGAAACUGGUUUUCUUGAGUGAGUGAGAAGUAUGCGGAAUGCGUGGUGUAGCGGUGAAAUGCAUAGAUAUCACGCAGAACUCCGAUUGCGAAGGCAGCAUACCGGCGCUCAACUGACGCUCAUGCACGAAAGUGUGGGUAUCGAACAGGAUUAGAUACCCCAGUAGUC
RNAcentral lists this ribosomal RNA (459 nucleotides) under uncultured bacterium. Its description in RNAcentral is "partial 16S ribosomal RNA". It matches the Rfam family "Bacterial small subunit ribosomal RNA", at positions 338 to 795 of the family's 1533-position model. The record is from RNAcentral.